UACGGAGGGAGCUAGCGUUGUUCGGAAUUACUGGGCGUAAAGGGUGCGUAGGCGGCGCGGAAAGUCGAGGGGUGAAACUCCCGGAGCUCAACUCCGGAACUGCCUUUGAUACUCCCGCGCUAGAGAGGCUGGAGGGGACAUCGGAAUUCACGGUGGAGCAGUGAAAUGCGUGGAUAUCGUGAGGAACACUAGUGGCGAAGGCGGAUGUCUGGACAGUAUCUGACGCUGAGGCACGAAGGCCAGGGGAGCGAACGGG
RNAcentral lists this ribosomal RNA (256 nucleotides) under uncultured bacterium. RNAcentral's name for it is "partial 16S ribosomal RNA". It matches the Rfam family "Bacterial small subunit ribosomal RNA", at positions 524 to 776 of the family's 1533-position model. The record is from RNAcentral.